UACGUAGGGUGCAAGCGUUAAUCGGAAUUACUGGGCGUAAAGCGUGCGCAGGCGGUUAUGUAAGACAGAUGUGAAAUGCCCCGGGCUUAACCUGGGAACUGCAUUUGUGACUGCACGGCUAGAAUCUGGCAGAGGGGGGGUAGAAUUCCACGUGUAGCAGUGAAAUUCGUAGAUAUUGGGAAGAACACCGAUGGCGAAGGCAGCCAUCUGGACCGACACUGACGCUGAGGCGCGAAAGCGUGGGGAGCAAACAGG
This 255-nucleotide ribosomal RNA is filed under the name uncultured bacterium. Its description in RNAcentral is "partial 16S ribosomal RNA". It matches the Rfam family "Bacterial small subunit ribosomal RNA", at positions 524 to 776 of the family's 1533-position model. The record is from RNAcentral.